RNAcentral lists this ribosomal RNA (484 nucleotides) under uncultured bacterium. RNAcentral's name for it is "partial 16S ribosomal RNA". It matches the Rfam family "Bacterial small subunit ribosomal RNA", at positions 30 to 507 of the family's 1533-position model. The record is from RNAcentral.
AUUGAACGCUGGCGGCAGGCCUAACACAUGCAAGUCGAGCGGAUGAAGGGAGCUUGCUCCUGGAUUCAGCGGCGGACGGGUGAGUAAUGCCUAGGAAUCUGCCUGGUAGUGGGGGAUAACGUCCGGAAACGGGCGCUAAUACCGCACACGUCCUGAGGGAGGAAGUGGGGGAUCUUCGGACCUCACGCUAUCAGAUGAGCCUAGGUCGGAUUAGCUAGUUGGUGGGGUAAAGGCCUACCAAGGCGACGAUCCGUAACUGGUCUGAGAGGAUGAUCAGUCACACUGGAACUGAGACACGGUCCAGACUCCUACGGGAGGCAGCAGUGGGGAAUAUUGGACAAUGGGCGAAAGCCUGAUCCAGCCAUGCCGCGUGUGUGAAGAAGGUCUUCGGAUUGUAAAGCACUUUAAGUUGGGAGGAAGGGCAGUAAGUUAAUACCUUGCUGUUUUGACGUUACCAACAGAAUAAGCACCGGCUAACUUCGUG